Phyllostomus discolor (pale spear-nosed bat) is the source of this 160-nucleotide small nuclear RNA. RefSeq annotates it as U1 spliceosomal RNA. Lineage: Eukaryota; Metazoa; Chordata; Mammalia; Chiroptera; Phyllostomidae. The record is from RefSeq and is a predicted model, not a curated record. The transcript has a single exon.
AAAUUUCUGGCAGGGGAGAUAACAUGACCAGGAAGUUGGCCCUCCCAGGGCAAGACUCAUCCACCACACUCAGGACAUGCUGACCCCAUGACCUCUCGAAACGUGGGACACUCCACUGCAUAGUUUGUGGUAGUGGGGGACUUUUAUGCUGGGGCCUCUA